Molecule: long non-coding RNA, 1811 nt
Organism: Junco hyemalis (dark-eyed junco)
Lineage: Eukaryota; Metazoa; Chordata; Aves; Passeriformes; Passerellidae
Source: Ensembl
GAGGAUAUGAUCUAGUUGAUUGCCUGAGAAAGUUAAAAAAUUUCCCAACCAGCCUGAGGUUCUCUGUUGACUCAUUUUCAUAAGACAUUUAAGUACUAUGGCAAAUGCUUGCCAGCCUUUUAGGCAAGUAAGGUGAGACAUUUCAAGAAACACACAGCAAAAAUUAUUUCAGUGUCCCAAUUUCCCAUCCAUCCUUCCCAACACGUACAGAGUAGCUGCACUGAGAAGCAGGUGAGUUGCUAAUGCAGAUUAAUUUGUCCUUUGAGAAGCCACUGCAAUUAAUCCAGUCGGUAACCCCUGAACAAAGAAAUACUUCCGUGACACAUCAGUGUUUCCAGAUUUGGAAAGGAUUUGACAAAUGCCAAACUGAACUUGCACAGCAAGUGAACUGUGGUGGAGAAAAGAGUGUGCAGCCUCCAGAGGAGGGCAUGGAGUACCUAAGAGGGUAAAUAAGCUACUUGCUCAAUGGUAACAUUUAUUUUAUUUUAUUUAGAUGCUUGGCAGUAAAGAAGGGUGUUGGAGGAUGUCAGAGGUGCUUCAGAAAAGCCUGCUGGUGACUAGAAAUAUCUUCACUUUCUGUUAGCAUGCAGGUAGCCUGCCCACAGCCGCCCGAAUUCUGACUGUAUUACCUCAUGAGGCAUGAGAUGUGCUCCAACAUGUGCUGGCAGGAGCAGUCGGAGAAGACUGGCUACAGAAGCUCAUCAAGAAAUGCAAAAGGCAUGACCUGCUAUCUAAGUCCCUGCGGUCACAGAGUAGGCAAGGGGACUUCGUGCUGUGGUUUACCUUGUGACUUCUGGGGCUUUUGGGAUGUCCUGAGGAACCACAUGAUCAGCAGACACAUUCCCUCUUCUGCCAACACAGGAGCACCCUCUAACAGUGCCCGUCUCCCAGGAUGCAAGAUUUGCCGAGGCACAGGUGAUGGAGCGUCCCGGCAGAGAGCAGGAGCCCUCAGCUGGAGGUCUGGGGUGACAUGCAGCUUCUCUGAGUUACUUCUCUGACCAUUAUCCAAGACUCACAGAAGAUGUGCUGGAUGAGCUGAUGAGCCUUUUGUACUGCAGAUCUCCUCAAAACGCUGCAGGGUCAACAGCACAGUGCCAAACUAGAAUCAAUGAGGCCUUACGCAGACACUCAAGAAUAACAAGUCAACCAGUGGAUUUUCAAGCAGACUGUAACAGCUUGUUAUCUGAUGUCCCCUGGGCACAAACACUGAGACAUCUGCAGUUUUUGACCUUUUUUUUUGUCUCUGCUGGCUCAAUAGCUAGUUAGCUGGUCAUUCAAUGUGAAAACAAAACAGAGGAAAGGAGAGCAAAUUGCAAUAGGCAGGAGAUGCUGGACAGUUAGGAUGCCAAAAGGACUGGAAAUAUCUAAGUACAGAGGUUGCUUUGCUCUGCUUUAUUAUUUGUGCAUUAAGCUCUCUGAGUUGGUUUUUGGAACUCUGUUAAAAGCAGGGUUUUCAAUAUGCCAGUUGUCACCGAACUUUUAUGUUGGUUUUAUUUUGCAUAUAUUUUGCAUCUCUAUUCUCUUUGCUUGGCGCUGCAAGUUAGAAAUUAACCUGAAAAACACACGUUGAGACUUCACUGACUUUCCCAGACUUUUUUUUUGUCUGAGAACACAAAGCUCUCUUCAUAGCAUCUCCUCUAGUUCCAUCAAGGGGAGGGAAGAUCCCCAGAAGACUGACUUCUGGAUCAUCCUUUGUACUGAGAUCUCAGUUCCUUGGAAUGCAGUGACUGCACUAGCUUAUAUGCACGGGGGUGUGGAGCCUCCUUCCUGUUUCUAGGCUCUUGUUAAUAAAGAGUGUGCCCACAUUCUCA